GAUCCUGGCUCAGGAUGAACGCUGGCGGCGUGCUUAACACAUGCAAGUCGAACGGAGUGCUCUUGAUUGAGGAUUCGUCCAAAUGAUAGAGUUACUUAGUGGCGGACGGGUGAGUAACGCGUGAGUAACCUGCCUUGGAGUGGGGAAUAACACAGUGAAAAUUGUGCUAAUACCGCAUGAUAUAUCGGUACCGCAUGGUAGUGAUAUCAAAGAUUUAUCGCU
RNAcentral lists this ribosomal RNA (222 nucleotides) under uncultured bacterium. Its description in RNAcentral is "partial 16S ribosomal RNA". It matches the Rfam family "Bacterial small subunit ribosomal RNA", at positions 15 to 219 of the family's 1533-position model. The record is from RNAcentral.